UAAAAUUAGAUACUGGCCAGCCAUAAAGUUUCUCCUUUUCAUCUCGCAGCUGUCAAGUUUCUCCUUUUCAUCUCUCAACUGUCAGUAAAUCUGUAGCUUUUCACUUUGCCAUGCAGUUUCCUUUUUCAUACUGCUCUUGGUUGCUUCUUCUCCUUACAUUAGUAUUAUGAUGAAGAAAAGUAAAAAUAAAACAUGAUAAAGGAGUAAAGUUCUGCUCUAAACUCAUAAAAAGAGGCGAUUCCAUUCACACAAGUGUAACAAAGAAUGAAAACAAAUGCUCUAGACACCAUAAGCAGUAAAUUCAUAUGUAGGUUUUGUAGGUGCUUGGAUUUGAUACACAAAUGUUGAAUGAUGCAGAAAAUAUGAUAAUGUAGUCAAUAAUUCUCACACUGUGGCAAACUUGUCAUGUGGUUGCAAAUGGUCCAUGAAAUGGUUGGAUCCGAGCUCAAUAUGGACCUUCUAAAUGAACACUGACGGAUUUUAAAAUCUGCAAAAAUGAAGUACAGAAAUCAUCAGGCAUGGCAAAAUAUUGAGUCAUGCACUGCAGCCUUACUAAAUGAACUCCCUAAAGGCGAUAUAUCUUCAUUAAUAGUAACCAGUAAAGACUGUAAAUGCUUAUGAGCAUCGGAAGUCCUUGAUAGCAAAUGCCUCAUCAACCUUUUCUCCAUGUAAAUAUAGAAAAUUUCAAUAUUGGAAAACAUAAAAGCUUCUCUCCAUGAGAGAAUAGUAAAUCCGUGCGUUACAACAAUUAGAUUAAAGAAACUGAUAAGCAAACUUCUAUAUGUUGAUGUGUGGAUACAUAAAUAUUGCUCAUCACAAGCUAAAGUAGCACAAUUGUUACUGAUUUGAAGAAAGAGAUAAAACUUUACGUUAGCCCUUCUCUACUUCAAAAUCCAUCAUAUUUUUCCCCGUCUCUCCGAGGAGUACACAAGUGAUCUCUCCGUGCCUAUGAGGUUGUGAGUAGUGCUGUAUUUUGUCCCGGGCCUAAACGGGCUUCGCGGGCCUAGGCUCUGGUGGUUCCGGGCUUCGUGGGCUCAAUGGGUGAGACCAUCCCAUGACGGGCCUAAGCCCAUGUGGUCCUAGGCUUAGCGGGUCAGGCUUCGUGGGCAUGUCGGACUUUUUUGUAAUUUUUUUUGUUUAAGGCAAUAUCUUUGUAUAGUAGUUAUUAGUAUAGUAUAUAAUAUACUAGUAUAAAAUAUGUUUAUAUAGUAUACUAGUUAUUAGUAUAGUAUAUAUAAUAUAUAUUUCAUUGUAUAUUGUAUUGUAGUAAUUAGUAUAUAUUGUAUGUUAUGUAUAUAUAUAUUCCCUUAAUUAUUUUCUUAAAGUAUAUAUUGUAUGUUAUGUAUAUAUAUAUUCUCUUAAAUAUUUUCUUGUAGUAUAUAUAUAGUAUCUUAUAUAUAUAUAUAUAUAUUAUAACUUAUAAAGUUAUAUAUUUUGUUGUAGUAUAUAUAUUGUAUCUCUUAUGUAUAAUGUAUAUAUAUUCUCUUAUAUACAUUGUAUCUUAUUUAUAUAUGUUAUUACUUAUAUAUUUUCUUGUAGUUUAGGUUGUAUGUUAUGUAUAUAUAUAUACCCUUAUAUAUUCCCUUAUAUAUUUUCUUGCAUGUUAUGUAUAUAUAUUAUCUUAUAUAUUUUUUUGUAGUAUAUAUAUUGUAUCUUAUGUAUAUAUAUUAUAACUUAUAUAGUUAUAUAUUUUGUUGUAGUAUAUAUAUAUAUUGUNNNNNNNNNNNNNNNNNNNNNNNNNNNNNNNNNNNNNNNNNNNNNNNNNNNNNNNNNNNNNNNNNNNNNNNNNNNNNNNNNNNNNNNNNNNNNNNNNNNNNNNNNNNNNNNNNNNNNNNNNNNNNNNNNNNNNNNNNNNNNNNNNNNNNNNNNNNNNNNNNNNNNNNNNNNNNNNNNNNNNNNNNNNNNNNNNNNNNNNNNNNNNNNNNNNNNNNNNNNNNNNNNNNNNNNNNNNNNNNNNNNNNNNNNNNNNNNNNNNNNNNNNNNNNNNNNNNNNNNNNNNNNNNNNNNNNNNNNNNNNNNNNNNNNNNNNNNNNNNNNNNNNNNNUUCUACAAUUCCAAAGUUUUUUCUUUCCGCGCGGAUCCAAUCUCUAAAAAGUACCGAUUUUUCCAAGUUAUCCCUCAUCGACGCUCUAUGAUAACCUAUUUGCAGUCUUGCUUGUCUGAAAGCGCUCUCCGAUGCAACAAUUGAAGCUUGAAUCGAUAAAAUAUCCCGAGCCAUCCUUGCAAGAACCGGAAAAUAUUUUUCCCUUGACUUCCACCAUUCCAAAAGACCAAAAGAGCCGUCUGGAUUCUCCUUUUCAAGUCCCUGAGACAAAUAAACUUGAAGCUCAAUUAGAUGUGAAGUUUCAUCAUAAUUAUCACCUUGAGAACCCAGGAACUCCGUACAAGAUUUAAGAGUUUUUAAGCCCGCAGCUCUUUUAGACGAUUGUGAGCUAGACGAAGUGGGGGUUAAAAUAUUUGACCCAGCAUGCUCUAAGGCAAGUUGAUAAGCAUUAUAAGUUGAGCAUUAAAUUUAAUUAAUGCUUUUGCAUCUGCAAGUGUAGCAACUUCCUCGUUUGAAAGAUCUAAAGCCUUUACCCCCACAAUUGCAGUCACAGGUACAGUGUUGGCAUAUAUCCAGGCUGUCCAAUUCAUCCCACAACCUUUUCAGUUUAGUAUAGUAUCUUAUUAUGUCCAAAUUUCCUUGUGUUGAUUCACUGAUCUCUUUUUGUUGGUGAUAAAGUUGUGAUCCAUUACUCUGAGCAAACCUUUCUUCAAGCUCAUUCCAGAUUUCCUUGGCGGUACAUAACACUCUCUACUGUUGCUUUGGAAAGAGUGUUUAAUAGCCAAGAAAUGACCAUGUCAUACAACGGGUCCAAGACUUGAAGUCAUCAGAAGAGACUUUGGGCUGAAGAAACGUUCCAUCAAUGAGUCCUACUUUGUUCUUAGCAGACAAAGUUAUGAGCACCCUUCUCCAACCCCAUAUCCUCUUCCAUCAAAAGAAAAGUUAACAAGAAGCAUUUCAGGUGAAUCAGAAGGGUGGAGGUAAAAUUGAUGUGAGAAGUCGAGAAGUGCAGAAGCAGCUUUUGCCGUCUGAGGAAUGCUGGUUACUAUGGCAGAUGCUGAAGGGAGAUCGACUUGCUCUCCCAUGGUUGAUUAGGAUAUAACAAAAAAGAAAGAUUGAAGAAGGAUCGAGCACUAAAGCUCUGAUACUAUGUUAGAAGAAUAAGAGAAUGAAGAUGUAAUUGAGAGAAUUUUCUGUGUAUGUUUGAUAAUGAAAUCUGUACAGAACUUGUCUUUAUAUACAAAUAAAAAAGAAUCUUUCAAUAACUAGUAUAAUCCAACUUAGUGGGGUUUGGGGAGAGUAGUGUGUACGCAGACCUUACCCCUACCCUUGGGGAGGCUGUUUCCAAAUAGAAACCCGGGAUCUUUCCCUUCAAAAUUUUCCCACCUUGCUCUUGGGGAGACUCGAACUCACAACCUCUCGGUUGGAAGUGGGGGUUGCUUACCAUCAGAGCAACCCCUCUUGUCUAAAUAUCUGAAACUUACCUGUGUGACGUGAGUUAAUUAUUCUAUACGCAAUUAUACAUUUUUGCGUUGUCCACUCCUCAUCUAUCCAAUGACUUAUAACAGUUAGAUAAUCACAAUCAUUACCACUUCUACCAAUAUCAGUAGUAAUACAAAUCCGAUUAGGUAUAUGAGUAAAUAAAUAGCGUAAAUAUUGUUCAUAUUCAUGAUUAAAUUCAUAAAUAUCGGCCUUAACUUUUGCACGAAGCCAACCUUUAUAAGUAGGAUUAAAAACUCUUCUAGUAUAAUGAACCCAAUUAGGAUUAGAAGCAAAAGUAUAAGGUAAGCACAUAACAGUCAUCAUCUUUACUAAUUCUUCACGAUCUCUAUUUGGAUUGUAAUGUAAAAUACCUCCGGUGACAGUGUUAAUUCCUGGUUGAACUAGAUUUGAACUUAUCCUAGGGUUAACCGCAGAAUCUACACUUGUCCCAUCUUGCUGCGGUUGCAUUUGAAAAAAUCUAGCCCUAUCUGUAGGGUGUAUUUUUAUGUGCCUAACCAAACUACCUGUGCCGUUACGGUCUCCAGUAUAUUUAUGAACCAGUAACAUUAUCUCUAGGGUGUAUUUUUAUGUGCCUAGUCAAACUACCCGUGUCGCUACGAUCUUCAGUAAAUUUAUGAACCAGUAAUUUCCCACAAGUUUUACACUUAGCAUUAUUUAGUUCUCUUACUUUAGUAAAAAAAUUCCAAACUAAUGAUGUUUCUGGAUGUUUAGCAGGUUGUCUACUAAAAGUUGGAGUUUCUACAGGUGGGUGAGCCGGUGCAUUACUUGAGUUAUGAACAUGACUAGUAGGUGUAUCAUCUAAAUCUGGUGCUUAGGUUACACCAUCAUCGUCAUCAUCCUCAUUUUCCUCUAAGAUAGGUUUAUUAGGAUAAAGAGCAUUAAUAAUUUCAUCCAUCAUCAUCAUCAUCGUCAUCAUCGUCAUUUUCCUCCAAGAUAGGUUCAUUAGGAUAAAGAGCAUUCAUAAUCUCAUCAUCUAAUUUAUCACCUACUGCAACAUCAUGUAGAAAUUCACUAUCGGUAAAUUGAAAACAAGGGUGAUCACUAUCAAGCAUUACGGGAGGACGUCUAGGUUGGCGACUACUUUCAACUUGCUUAUCUUUUCUAGGUCGGGGAGCCUGAGGAAGGGUAGUAUUAUGGCCACUACUUUCACCGAUUUUACCUUUUCCUUUACCAAACAUAUUUUUCAAAGAAAAUGCCAUAUUAAUUAUAAUUAUGCAAACUAAACCACACAAAAAUAUAUUACCUUUUCCUUUACCAAACAUUUUUUUCAAAGAAAAUACCAUAUUAAUUAUAAUUAUGCAAACUAAACUACAUCAAAAUAUAUUAUUAAAACGUAAGAGUUGAAACGAGUUUACCGGAUUGCCGAAAAACUUCUUAAAGAUUUUAAAUCGUUGAACACUUGAAAACUUCAAUUCAACAACUUCACAAUUUUUCACGAAUUUUCAACAAUAAAUUAAGCAAUUGUAGUAGAAAGAUUGAGAGGUAUUGAUGAAAUGGUGAAUAAAAAUGAAAGAAUGAGGAGGUAUUUAUAGUUGAGAAAUGGGUAAAAGUGUAAUUAUAUAAAUCUCGGGGUUAAAUUAAAGUUUGUAGGCCAAAUGACCAUUUUUUAAACCUCCAAACUGUCAAAUAGUAGCCCAAAUGGCUACUUUUUAAAAAUGCCCGUUGCUGAUUUUAAAACAAAAAAAUAUAUAGCCGUUGGGCCUGUUUAGGCCCGCCAGACCCGGCCCAGGCCCGACUGACGGUCCCGAGAUCACUGGCUAAUGAAUGCGGCCCGGCCCGUCACGGGCCUAAAAGUAACACCAGGCCCAGGACCACCAGGCCCGGUCCGAUCCGGUUUAGGCCCGGGCCACAGUGCAGCACUAGUUGUGAGCAUUAAAAAGGAGUUGGAUUCAAAUAAAUAUAUACUCAGGCAGUGAAGACUUUUGAACUUCCUAUUAUCUUCAUGUAGUAUAAGGAGAGCUUUGCCAAUAGAACUAAUAAAGUAGAAGUUUUCACCUCUAUUGUUCCCUCCAUCUGAGAGGUACGCCCAACUCUAUUUAUUUUAUUUCAUUCAUGCCUAACAACAUCUCAUCCAAAAUUCUACUCUCAUUUGAGGAAAAAGCAAGUGAAAAUUGUCCAAAGAUAAUAUUCUAGAGCUUUAAAGUAAACAAAGAGGAGCACAACUAUGACCUCUUUUAUUUUUUUGCAAAGAACUUUAUAUGUACAUAAACUGCUGCGGCACUUCAUGGCGUUUAAUAGAAACAGAUUAUUUUCCCUUAAUGCACCUGUGUGAACAGGUAUGCUAUGGGUAAGGCUACUUCCUAUGGAUCCUUCAACAUGCUAAAAUAAUUUGCUUAAAACUCAACUGACAUUCUAAUCCAUGUGGUCGUUUCUAUUAAAGGUCCUUUUUAUCUUCAUCGGUAUUCCAGUUUAACUGCAUCUGACAGGGUUUUAGCCCCUACAUAAAACUCUAAAAUCUCCAUAAAAGUUUGCAUACCUUGUCAACAUUUUGAACAGAAACAGAGAACCCAAUUCACAUUGUUUGAUAUCUACCUUGUCAAAAACAUUACAAAACAUCAAAUUCUCAAAAUUUCAUAUCAACAACUGCCUACCCCCAAGUAAAAAAGUCUCAAUAACCUUUGUACUUUUUUCUAAAGUUUACCGGGAAAUAUCUUACUCUCGAGUCAACUCAUAAUCUCAUCACAAAGGAUCAAAGUUGCAUGUAAUCAACUCCACAAAUAUCACGACCAAUAAAGAGUCAACUAUAGCUAAAGGAGCACAGAAAAUUUUUUAAAGAGCUUACAAAGCCAUCCAUCAACUUUUGGACAUGGUUGAUUUUGAUCUCACUUUAUGUAGUUUGAUUGUUAUUUCUGGCUUCAGAAAUAGUAAAUUAAACACCGGCCGGUUCAAAAAUCGGCCACCUAAACAAAUUGCACAUACAAUGAGAUAGCAAAUCGAACGCUUAAGAGAAAGAAAGAUCAUAUGGUGUCAGAGAAACUAAAAGUGCGGACCUAAUUAAGAACUACAUGCACACUUCUCAGCGGAAAAUCAACCUGCUUUAAUUAUUCUCAGUUUUUUUGCUAAAAGUACCAAUUUUUCUUCUUUUCAUGCAAUAUGUAUUUUGCAAUCUGUAUUCAACUCAACAACAAGAAAAGCAAUAUCUACCAAAAGGAUUAGUAAGUCAAAUGUAAUUCAUAGAAUUUUCCUCAAAGACAACUUGAAAAUAAGUCAUUACCACAUCUUAUCACACUCUGUUAUGCGAAAUUAGAAUAUCACCAUCAAUAUCUCGGUCUGGGUCCGAGAUAAUCCUUUGUGGCUAGAACCUUUUGGACCAUUUUCCUGAAAGCUUUAUUUACUCUUCUUUGAAAUUUAAGAACUCAAAAAGAUCUAAGCUCACAAAUUGAACUUUAGCUUUUCCCUUCAAGAAAAGCAAUAAAGGGAGGGAGGAGCUAGUUCUUUAUUUAUUUUAGAUAUAAUGUGUAUAAAACUGGAACUAUGAAUACAAGUUUAGCAACAAUAUUAUAUCUUACUGCACGGCUUCUAUAUUUAAGAUUAUAAACUUACUGUUGGCACCCUUGCAAAAUUACAAUUGCAAUAAAUUGUCCCAGAGCACUCUUAACGUAUAUCCAUUAUAUAAGUUUUCCCAAGAAAGAAACUAACAAAGUCAAAGACAUAUUAUAUCUUUCUAUUUUGUUCUUUCUAGCUGCAAAUAGAUCACCCUAGAAUUUAUCAACUAAUAUGGUACCCAAACCCCUAAAGAAGAACAACAACAAUACCCAAAAAAAAGGAAGAACAAUGACAUAAUUAUUAUUGCAAUGAAUGCACAUUAAAAACUUUCCAAAAAAUUGAUAAUUACCUCAAAAGAAAUCAACUUCAAAAAGGAAAAGCGUAAAUCAAAAGACUGUCCAUGUUUUAUUUUUUCUUUUGUUUAAUUUCUGGAUGAUAUAAGUUAUUAAAGAUUCAAGCAAAAAUUAUAGAAUAACAAACUUGAGAAGAAAUAUAACUAAAAGAAAUGUUUUUCAAAAAUUAAACAAUCGUUACUUAAACAGAGGGGAUAAAGAUGGACAGGGAUAACUAUACUAGUAUCCAAAAUUCUUCAUUGAACUACUUUAUCAGCGUUCUGAUUUUUUAAUUCUUCAUGGGUAUUUUCCAUCCCUAGAAUUCAAGACCAAGUAAAAUUUCACCAAAACAAUGAGACAAACAACUUGCAUCAACAUUUUGCAGAGCGAAUUAUAAAGAUGCAGCGAGUGAGAAACGCGGAGAAAUAGAGAAAACCAUACCUGAAGAAUAAUGGAGGAGAAUGGGGAAUAGAAGUGACUUGGAAGCCAGAUGUUCUAAUCAUAGGAGUAGAAAU
This 7880-nucleotide long non-coding RNA is filed under the name Nicotiana benthamiana. RNAcentral's name for it is "long non-coding RNA (NBEN_LNC020227)". The record is from RNAcentral. Lineage: Eukaryota; Viridiplantae; Streptophyta; Magnoliopsida; Solanales; Solanaceae.